Long non-coding RNA from Rhinopithecus bieti (black snub-nosed monkey), 1587 nucleotides. The record is from Ensembl. NCBI's taxonomy places the organism in Eukaryota, Metazoa, Chordata, Mammalia, Primates, Cercopithecidae.
GUCCCACCCUCAGGAGCCCCACAGUGGGCAGCCCACCAGUGAGGGCUGCAGGCGACUCCUGGAGGCCAGAGUGGCCCAGCGGCCUGGCGUGCAGGAGAAAGCAGGCCUACCUCUGCUCAGGCCAGGGACGCAGCUCCGCCUGCUUCAUUUCUCUUUUUCCUCUCCUCUUUCUGGCCAGAAGCUUCACCAGGUUUACCUUGGCCCAUUUCACAAGUCAGGGAACUGAGGCAUCCAUGGUCAAUGAACUCUGGUGCUAGGGGAAAGGACGCAGGAGCUCCCCAGCCUGGGUCCUCUGGUAAAGCAUCUGCCUCAGGCUCCAGUGCCCUGGGGACAGUCUGGCCCAGAUACAGGAGUGACUCGUGGAACUGUGCUCAGGGGCUGAAAUAGGAGCCCUGGGGUCUCAGCUGCUUUCUCAGAAAGAGAAAAAGAAACCGUGUUAUUUCCUAGAAUGUAAUGAAUGAGCUGGGAGAUGCUGGGGUAGGUGAGCACACCAGGUGCCAGGACCCAAGGGUGAGUGAGCUGGGGGUGCAGCAGGAUCUGGGGUGGGCGUCCAGUGGAGGGAGAGGGCUCACUGGGUUUCUUGCCACAAAAACCAGUACAGACUCGGCAGCCAGGGGCUGGUCCUGGGAGGGCCGGGGGCUUCCUGGUCUGCUCCCCUUCCUGCUGUUCCACUAUUGCCUGUGGGGUAUCUGCUGUGCUCAGGGAAGCCUGAGCCCCCUUCCAGUCACUUAGCUGAGGCAGGGCUCUGGGUAUGGCCCUCCUCACCUGGGGAAGUGGGGUUCACAGGCACUCAGAUACGUGGGGACGACGCUCUGCCAUCGUGAGGGGUCAGUCUGGCUGUGUGACCCAGCACCAGUGGGCAGCCCACAGGUGAUCUCUGUAGGAGCCUCCUCUGGCAGGUCACAAACAGGACGCCCCGCAGAGCCUUGGAACAUCGUGACUGAAGAAGGGCUCACAUCAUGUUUACUCCCCAGCCUCCCCAUCACCUGCAUCUGCAAGGGCUCCUUGGACCCUGGUCAGAAGUUUAUUUGGUGAAUGAUCCUGCAGACAUCACACUGGCUCAAAGGGCAUCAGAACCCCAGCUGAGAGGAGCCUCAGCAUCAGAUGAUGAGGACCUGGCACGGGAGCCUUCAUCUGAGGAUGUCCCAGGCGUUCACAUGGUGGACAAAGCCAGACAGACGAACAGUACAUAUUCUGGGAUCACCCCUAUGCUGAGGAAAAAUUCUAGUGUUGACACAGGUGCCAAGGAACUUCUGGAGGAGGAUGUGCCAGGACAGACAUCCUUGGAGGAAGCCUCAGGGGUUCACAUGGUAAAGUCUUCUUUUUUCCUCUGAAAUUGAAAUUUUAUUUCUCUCUGUUUCAAUUGAAUUAAGAUGUAUACAUCUUACCAUGUACAUUAUAGGUGAUUUACAGAAUUUCUUGGUGGGCAAAUGUCAGAGUUCAUUAUCAACAAAAAAAAUGAUUUCAGAUGGCAUCCACAUGUGCAAACUGUAUGUCAGCAGGCAUUUUCCUCAAGAGAAAUGCCUCCUUCUUGAGAAGUAUUUGGAAUUGUCAAACAAAAACAUUGGAAACUCUUGCAAAAAAAUC